Long non-coding RNA from Gorilla gorilla gorilla (western lowland gorilla), 396 nucleotides. RefSeq lists it as uncharacterized. The transcript is spliced from 3 exons. Lineage: Eukaryota; Metazoa; Chordata; Mammalia; Primates; Hominidae. The record is from RefSeq and is a predicted model, not a curated record.
AGUUGGUACCAGUAGUGCUCCUACAAGCAAGCACUUGCUUUUUUCACUCUCUCUCUCUCGUCUGUGACUACCCCUCCAGGUGAGCCUGCCGAAGGAUCUGAAGGACAUGAGGAGAGCUGAGCCAUCCUGGACAGGCCAUCGCACUAGCCAGCCCCAACCAUUCUGCCAGCUGCAAGCACAAGCCCAGAACGUUAGCUCCAUGGGAGCAGGAGCUUUGUUUAAUUUACCUUGUAUCUCAGCACCUAGAAGAAUGCCUGGUACAUGGCAGACAUUCAGACAUAUGUAUACCCAAGGACAUAUACCAAACAGAAUAGUGUUAUAUCUCUGGGGCAGAAAGAAAUGAGGAUGAAAGAAGAAAGAGAAAAAUUAUCAACGAACACCGAAGCAGCUCUUACA